RNAcentral lists this ribosomal RNA (515 nucleotides) under uncultured bacterium. Its description in RNAcentral is "bacterial SSU rRNA". It matches the Rfam family "Bacterial small subunit ribosomal RNA", at positions 28 to 519 of the family's 1533-position model. The record is from RNAcentral.
GACGAACGCUGGCGGCGUGCUUAACACAUGCAAGUCGAGCGGUAAGGCCCUUUCGGGGGUACACGAGUGGCGUCCGGGUGAGUAACACGUAGGUAAUCUACCUUCGGGUGGGGAAGUAACUCGCCGAAAGGCGAGCUAAUACCGCAUAAUGCAGCGGCACCUAAUGGUGAUUAGUUGUUAAAGCGGGGGAGUCGUAAGACCUCGCGCCUGAAGAGGAGCCUGCGGCAGAUUAGCUAGUUGGUGAGGUAAUGGCUCACCAAGGCUUCGAUCUGUAGCUGGUCUGAGAGGACGGCCAGCCACACUGGCACUGACACACGGGCCAGACUCCUACGGGAGGCAGCAGUGGGGAAUUUUGGGCAAUGGGGCGCAAGCCUGACCCAGCAACGCCGCGUGAGGGAGGAAAUCCUUCGGGAUGUAAACCCUCACAAGCAAGGGAAGAGAGCUCCGGACCGAAUAAGUUCGGAGUCCGACGGUACCUUGCGUAAGCCACGGCUAACUACGUGCCAGCCGCCGCA